Molecule: ribosomal RNA, 94 nt
Filed under: uncultured bacterium
Lineage: Bacteria
Description: partial 16S ribosomal RNA
Source: RNAcentral
CACCGCCCGUCACACCAUGGGAGCUGGCUGCACCAGAAGCAGGUUGCUUAACCGCAAGGAGGCGAUUACCACGGCAGGGUUCGUGACUGGGGUG